GGUUAAAUAAGUGUGUUAUCCUUGAAGGUUCUGUUCUGCAUCGUUAGCGAGAUACGAAUGCUCCUCUUCCAUGGCAGCCAAGGGCUGCCAGAGAAUUUGCACAGCAAAGUGAAUACUACUUCUGUCGUGGUUUGCUGGAACAGAUCUAGAAAGAAAGAAGCCAGCAGUUACGUCAGUUUGAGGUUGCAGUUCAAAUGCCCUUUAGCUGGUCUGUAAAUGUGGAGACCCAAUGUGCAAGUGCCUCAGAGAGUAACACCUAUUCAUCAGCAGUCAGUCAAGGUUAUGUUUUACCAGAAGGAAAAAUCAUGCCAAACACUGUCUUCGUUGGUGGAAUUGAUUUAAGGAUGAAAGAGGCAGAAAUUCGGACUGUCUUUGAACAAUACGGUGCUGUGAAAGAGGUGAAAGUAAUCACUGACAGAACUGGUGUUUCGAAAGGAUAUGGAUUUGUAUCUUUCCUGGAGAAUGUGGAUGUUCAAAAAAUAGUAGAAACACAAAUCAACUUCCACGGCAAAAAGCUGAAACUGGGGCCAGCGAUUAGGAAGCAACAAAACCUGAAACAAGCUUCUUCCAUACAUCCCAGACCGUUUGUCCUUGGUCCUUCUCCACCACAGUUCCAUAGUGUAUGGGGUAGUCAGAAUACAGAGACGUAUUUUCAGCCUCCACCUAUAAUGAGCCCAGUAACACCGUAUGUUCAGCCAUAUCCAUACAGUUCAUCACCAACUGUACUGCUAAAGCAGCAAGUUCCCAUAGGAUAUCAACCGGCUUAUAACUAUCAGGGUCAACCACAGUGGGUUGCUGGGGAGCAAAGAAGUUAUGUUAUGCCUCCUGGUCUGGUUUAUGCAUCGGUAAACCAUCACGCUGAGGAUCCGGGAUUUAUACAGACGGAAUGUGCUGUUCCUGAGCCCAUGCACUUGCCUGCUAACAGCCCACAAAAGAAGUCUGUGGACAGGGGCAUGCAAACAGUAGUGUCCUGUCUGUCUAAUCCUGAGAACCAGCUGAGGAAUGACUCUCUGUCACAAGACGACAACAUAAAGGAGAGCAAAGUAUAUCACUUCCGAAAAGGAAGGACAGGAUUCAAAAGUGUUUGAUGAAUGAAGACUUCGGAGUAUCUAAAUUAAUUAAGUCGAUGUUACUACAGUUCAGCAAUACAUUCAGCAUAAUAUUUCUCAUAGUUGCUUCAAGUUAAGUUUGUGUUCAUGUUCGACCUGUUUUGAUACAGUUCCUGCUUGGGUAGUUUGAAGUUUAAAGUUGUAAGAGUUGACAAACUUCAGUUACAUUGUUUGCAUGCUUCCCCAGUUUGUUUGCUGCAUGUGGAUUUUCUUCUGAGUUUUAACGUACACUUUACAUAUUACACAGGUUUGCUUUAACCACAAUUUGACUCACCCUGACCAGUUAAUUUUUGCAGUUUAAAAAUGGAAAUAGUUAUUUACCCAAGAGAUUGUAUUUUAAAACUGAGUUCUUAAAUCAGGGCAAAAGAAGAUAUAACUGAGCUGAAGCCCUUCUUAAGUCCUAGUUGCCUUUAGACAACAUAAUCAAUGUGAUUAUGUUCAUUACUGACACUUCAUGUACCUGCAGUCUUGAGCAUCAGUAUUGGUUUUGGUUGAUUUGGUUGCCCUGGGCUGUAUUUAAAGCUUUAUGCUGGAGCUAUAAGAAGACACAGAAAUGUGUAUGUGUAGCUCUCAUUGAAGAAUCUCAACACCAAAAGAAGACAUAAACCUCAAGAUACCUACACAGAGUGCACAUUUUCUGUUUAUUUGACCAAGUUUUACUCCCAGGACCAUCUGGUAUUUGUGUGCUAAACCAAGAUGAAUUGUGUCUUAACAUGAAGGUGAUCUGAUCCUCGAUUGCUACAAAGAAAAUGGUUUUUCCUAAAAGUCCUCUAACAGGUUCCCUUUAGUGUUGGAAGGCCACAGUAAGGUCUCCCUGGAGUCUUGUCUUCUCCAGGCUGAACAAUCGCAGUGCUCUCAGGCUGUCUUCAUGGGAGAGGUGCUCCAGCCCUCAUGGCCCUCCUUUGGACCUGACCCAGCAGGUCUAUGUCUUUCCUGUGGUUGGUAUUCCAGGCUAAAGAACUCCAGCUCUCUCAGCUGCUCCUCAUCAGACUUGUGCUCGAGACCGUCACCUGCUUCCUUGCCCUUUUCUAGACAUGCCGUGGUGACUCAUUGUUUUUCUUGUCGUGAGGAAUCCAAAACAACACAGUAUCAAUAUGUGGCCUCACUAGAGCCCAGUAUGGGGACACAGUUGCUUCCCUUAUCUUUGUGAUAGAAACCAGGAUGCUCUUCCCACCUGGAAACACUGCUGGCUCAUGUUCAGCCCUGCCUCAGCUGCAGCCUGGCAGCCAGCUAAGAACUGAUGCGGAGCAGGGGAAUCCAACUGUUAAAGCAUCACGAAGGCCUGGGGCAGGUGCUGAUGCAAUGUGAUUUCUGCCCAGUGCUCUAAGUGUCAAGGCAAAGAAAUUCAAUAAAGCACAGGAAAAGGGUAGGAGUAAUCUACUACUCUGUUAAGAAGGGACUAUGAUUGCUAACUGGGCUGAGGUACAGAGGUUGUAUCUUUCUGUGGUCACAGUGGAUGCCCUUAGGGGUAACUGAGUUGAUCUUUGCUGUGUGGGAAUUACAGCUGCUCCUUCCCUAUCAGGGGCAUUUGGCAUUUGCUGCCCACUUGAUAAUAUCUCAAGUGAAACAAAUGGUGAUCAUGUCACAAGCCACCACGCCCUGACCCAUGGGAUGGAAAAGCUGGGUAGAGUGAGCAGCUUGGAGGAUAGUGCUGCUAAAACUGAUGCAACCCCCACAGGAUGGUCAGGCAUGCCAGAGUUGACCUCUGUGAGCUGCUGCCAUCAGGCUCCACGCUGGUUGCAGCCCAGAGGGUGUAGAGCCAGGUCAGACAUGUCAGUACCAGACCCUGAUGCAGGUGAUGGUUGGCCAUAGCCCCCUCUAUAGUGAAUUUGAUAGAUGCCAAACUGCCAAUUAUAACCUGCUGCACAGUGGGAACCAUACCAGUGACCACUGUGAUGAUGUCAGUACUAUCUAGGGGAAUUGCAGGCAUUGUCACAUAAUGUCAGUUUGGGGUUGUAUCAUGACGUGUCACAUAACACGUACCAUCAGUUUUGGACAAGAUUUUACCAAUUUUGACCAGGGUGGAUGGGCUACCUUAACCUGGAAAAGGGGCACACAGAAGUAUGUUUGAUACCUAGCCAAGUGCUUCAUCAUUAAUUGGUGACAUGCAUGCACUGUACCUAUCUACUAUCCAGCAAAACCACAGCCAAAGGAACGGGCUUGGAAUCAGUGGGGAAAGGAGCCUGUUGAGCUUGACUCUAGUCUGGCACUGUAAAGAAAGACAAGAGAUGUUGAAUAAGUGUUUGGCAGUGUGGGGUGACUGGCCCUCUGGAGUCAUGGCCAUUGGUGAAUUACCACUAUUGUUAGGAUUUUUCACUUACCUUUGGGGGGUGGAGUGGGGGUGUGAGCCCGGAGGGGGUUGAGUCCUGAAGGAGGCUCUCACUUCUAGCUGAGGACCAACUUCCCCGUUGGCAUGUCCUUUGCAGCCCCAGUGUCUCUGCAGCUAUAGCUCUAUGGGCUCUCUGAACUCUAAUGACAGCUUGAGGCUGAGGUGCCCAGCAUGAUGGGUGGCCCAGAUGGUCUUUUUCUGCCAUGCAGCUUUCCAUCCACUCUUCCUUAAGCCUGUAGUGUUUCGUGCAGUUUCUUGUGACCCAGUUGCAGGAUCCAGCACUUGGCCUUGUUGAAACUCCUAAAACUGGACCAUCAGUCCAGCCUUUCCAGAUCCGUCUGCAGGGCCUUCCUGCCCUCCAGCAGGUCAGCGCUUCUGCCCAACUUCAUGUCUUUUGCAACCCACUGAGGGUGCACUGAUCUCAUCUAGAUCAUUGGUAAAGAUAUUAGACAGGACUGGCCUCAAUACUGAGCUCUCGGGAGCUGACCAGCUGGAUGCAACUCCAUUCACCAACAUUUUCUGGGCCCAGCCAUCUUGAUGAUUUUUACCCAGCUAAAUGAGAUUGCUUGCUUGGUACUCCUGAUUCUACUUGCACUAGAAUAGAUAUCUUUAUACAUAGUUAAGCAGCUCGUUUACUGAAUUUCUUCUAAGGAAAUGGGUUGCAGAAAUAGGAUGUUUUGGUUUAACCCCAGCCAACAAUCAAGUACCACUUGCUGUCCCACCAGCAGGAUUGGGGAGAGAAUUAGGGUCUCAGCUAGAAAACUCGUGGAUUGAGAUAAAGAAAAGCAAAAGCCAUGCACACAGGCAAAACAGAACAAGGAAGGAAUUCACUGCUCCCUGUGGGCAGGCAGCUGUUCAGCCAUCUCCAGUGCAUAAUGGUUAUUGGGCAGACAAACACCAUCACUCCAAAUGUUCCCCCCUUCCUCCUCCUUCCCUCUCCACUUUUUAUACUGAGCAUGAUGUAACAUGGUAUGGAAUAUGCCCUUGGUCAGUUGGUGUCACAGCUGUGUCUCCUUCCAACCUCACGUGCACCCUCAGUCUCUCUGCUAGCAUGGCAGUAUGAGAAGCAUAAAAAGCCUUGGCUCUGUGUAAGCCCUGCUCACCAAUAACAAAAACAUCUCUAUAUUAUCAACAUUGUGUUCAGCACAAAUCCAAAACAUAUCCCCAUGGUAGCCACUGCAAAGAAAAUAACUACUUCAGCCCAAACCAGGACACAGAUCUUUAUUGAUAAGACGCUUCUUGUAAGUGCUAGACUUCAUCUGUUUUUGACAGUGAAAUAAGUCUGUCUGGUCUUUUUCUUUGAAUGUUACAGUAUUUAUAAAACCUGAAUUGUCAGUUGUGCUUAUCUCACUGUUGCACUAGAUAUCCCCUGACUUAGAAGACGGACAGACUCUGAAAUUACUUGUUUUCUUAGGUUGUCUUGGGUAGUUUAAUUAAUUAAAAGCGCAAAGUUAACAGGUUUUAAAAGCAGAUUUUUCAAAGUAAGAUAGAAUCAAUAGUGGUGGAGUUUCAGAAAUUAUAUUUUAGUGCUAUGUUGCCUGUUAGUAGACUGUGAAGUCUGGGCUGAUGAGCUUUGUUCUGCUGUGGUUUCUGGGGAACUCAGUAAGGUGCACAGCACUUCAGAACACCAGUCUGCCAGAAGAUGGGGAGCUGCUGUGCUGUGUGAUAGCUCACACCAAAGCCUGCUUUCUUACACUGACACAGGACCAAACAUGGCUACCGGGGUGAAGAAAGCUUGAAAGGGGAUUUUUUUACUUCUCCUACUACAUGUAACUUGAUUGUUCAGCUUUUAAAAACAGCGUUUUAGGCAGUUAAUUCCGUGCAGGAAUAUCUGGAAGAGGUUCAGAAGUCUUGAGCUGUUGAGUCAGUAGAUUGAAAUAAAACAUAAUCCUGGAACUGACACUUCAGCGAAUUCUUCUAUGUCCAGGGAAAGAACAUUUUCUAGGCUUCUGUGUAAACUCAAGGCCACUACAGAAACAUUUUAUGUCUCAGCACUACUGAGCAGUUGUCUACUGAUUCCAUUUCCCUCAGCUUGGGAGGGAUGAAUGUGAUGAAGCACAUCUGCUUCUAAAAUGGCCCUUAUUCAUGUUUUUUCAAAUUAUUAAGCAGGUCCUAACGUCAGUCACGUCAGCACUAACUGCAAGCAGAGCUCCUUCAACUGAAUGAGGUUUGGUUACUUAUUCUUUAAAAUAAGUUUUAAAACUGUUCUUCCGAAGAGCAUUUUCAAAUAAACAAGACUGAAAUAUUUUUGCAUUAUAAGCCCUGACUUCUGUCUCUUCUAGACUCUUUGAUGUGUUUUUGAGAAACCAUACCUGAACAUAACACAGUAUGGUGACUGAGCUGGGUGCAGAUGAAGGUGUAGGAAUUCUUACAGGCUAAAGAUACACGAGGAGUUCAUUGUUUUUGUAACAUUUCUUAUUCACAUUAUGCUUUGUAAUACUUCAGUGAGAUAAGUCUGGCUAGUAUCUGGUUUAUAACCGUCUCGGUUCUAUUUCUGCAUGUUAAUCUUCAUGCUGUGGUGGACCCAGCUGUGCAGUCCAUCUUCUAGCAGAAUGGUACCAGUUGCCAUGACAGCAGAGAGCUACCUACUGGUGACAGAAUAAUAGGCAUGUGACUUCUUUAGAAAGUGUCACACUGUCAUUUAGUCGUGAGCCAGCAGGUGGGGCAUGAAGCUAACAGAAGCCAAAUACUGUUAAUUUAAAAAACCUUUCUCUUGGGCAACACUACGGUCUGCCUUUUUACAAUAAAAGCUGUCCAUCGCAGAAUAUAGCAGUUCUUGUUGUAGACUAGUUAAUUUCUGGGUUAAAAAGUACAGCUGUAAGAAAUGCAGUGAGAGCACUUCGUAAGAUUGCCAAAGGUUGUGUUAUGAGUUGUCGUGGGUUUGGCAAAAAGGCAGGGUUUGUGAGCAGUUUUGACACUGGUUCCGAGUGUGUCAACAGGAUAGAACUGGGCACUCAUAGGGAAACAGGACUGGAAAGUUUAAACCACUGAUGUAUUCCAUAGCUGAAAAAUUUUUGUCAGCUUAUUCGUAACUCUUUUCAGUUCCUCUCUUUAUUUGUACAGUGCUUACAAAUAAAUCCUUAAAUGAACUUGACAGUAUUUCAAAAGGAUAUGAGUCAGAAAAGGCUUUGGUCCCCUGUUCUGCUUUCAGGUAAGUCUAGUUUAUUCUGCAAUCCCAAGAAUUUGAUAAAUACACAACAGUUAAAGCCCGUUAAGAGAUACUCAAAACUCAGUAUAUUCAGAAGGUACUCAUUUAGCUACCUUCUUUGUUCCCUUUUUUACAGAGGUGGGGUUAAAAUGAGUAAGAACAUGGACCACUUCUUUAAACUGGGUACUCAUUCCUGGUCUCUCUGUUCUUGUAAAUGGAACACAGUCACUGGCAAUGAAUGGGAACUCAGUGCUACCAGUGCUCAGUGUUACCUGCUGUUUUCAGUGUUUCCUAGGACCAGAUCCCUCUAGGUUGGUUGGAGGAGGAGAGUUGGUUAUCCAGCAGAAAUUGUAGAUAAUUUAAUUUUCUGUUGCUGUGUCUGCUUUCCCUAGGGAACUGUGAUCUCUAUGAAAUGUUUGCUUUCUUGGGUGACAUUUUCCAAUAUAAAUGACGUUUUAUGACAGUAUUAUGAAGCCAACAGUGAAUAGACUAAAAAAAAAAAGGUUCACUUACAUAUUCGCUUAUCUUGUUAUUAUAGAAACACCACUAAAGAAGUUAAAAAAUUAAAGUAGUAUUUUUGCCGAGUUUCUACAUUUAACAAUCUUAGUUAAUAAACAUAUAAACAUAUUAAAAAUAAACAAUCUUAGUUAAGAGCUUCUGUACAUGCCCAGAUCAAAUUUUGUCUAAUUCAUUAUUGUACAUCGUUAUUGGAAACCUGUCUCUAAAUGGAAGAGUAAAAGGGCAAGAAAACAGAUCCUUGAGAACACACUCAGCUUCUAGUAGGUUGUUUUGCUCAGGUUUUGAUCUUUUAUUCUUCCUUUUGGUAUAUAUUGAAGAGAAUACAAAGGCAGGCUGUACUAGAGUAUUUUGCCACAAUGUCAUAAAAUGCACAACAUUUGUUGUAUGACUCCAAUAUGUUUUGAUCCUUGCUUUACAGACUUAGUAAUGCUUUAACCUAAAUAGCAAUCCAUUAACUUGCAACAAAGCUGUUACUUAAAAAAAAAACCCAAUUAAAAAAUGAAAUUAUGAAGCAAAAUUCUUUCAUGGAUGAUUGGGAUUCUUUAACGGAUUUUUUGCCAUACUCAAUGUUCUGAAAAGAAUUUAAAUUCUGUAUAAAAAACCCAACCCUGUGAUGGAACUGCCUAAAAAGAAAGCAGUAGUAGAUAGUACUAUGUAUUUAUACCUAGAGUUUUCCAGAAGUACUCAUUGUCUGUUGUGAAUAUAGUAGUUUCAAGUACAGUGUACAUGCUGCCUAAGCAGCCAAAAAUAUUCCUGUAUGCAGAACUAGAAGCAGCUCCUGAGGCCACAGGACAACCUAAGUCAGGAAACUUCUCAUGUAUAUGAUGAGAUAUCGUCUGAAUAAGAUUGUUAUAAAAAAUGUAGGGGACAUACGUAGCCAAUGAUGAUUCCUGACGUCAUUUUGAAGCUUUGAGUUUUGGCAACAGGUCUGUUCCAAGCUACUAGAGUGGUCUCUUAAUCCAAGUGGCAGGGGUCCGUGUUUUGGCAGCAAAUGAUGUAUUAUCUCAAACCAGCCUGCUUGGCUUGUAACAUGCAGCUUCAGAAACUAUGAAAUUCAUGUUUCUGUGUCUGUUCCCUCACAUAUGUACAAGCUAAGGAUGACACAGAAUUGUAUUAUAGUACUGUUAGUUAUUUUGGAAAGAAUGCUUUUCAACUUGGAAAGCAAAUGUCUCAAACCUAAUUAGAAACAGAAUUCUGUCUUAGUUUAAGGACAGGAGCAGUUAAGGGGAUUGGCUGAGAUGCCCAUUAAGUGCCCCUGGCAAGGCUCUGUGGGAAACAGAGAGAAUCUCUGUCUUGCCUUACUCGAGAACAAAGUUUGAUUUACUUUCACCUGAAUUAAAUAACAUGGAGAGUUAAACUUCAGAGUCUUUUAACAUGUUAGGAAACUGAAGUUUGCAAACUAGAUUUUUAUGAUACUAAAUUUUAGGAGUCUUGUUAUCUGCUCUUUUAACCUGUGUGUUGCACUUCAUAUGUAGUAACAAAGAGGUGGAGCUAGUGGGGAAAAUGAAAUGCUGUAAUUAGUUACAAAUGCCAUUAGUUUUCUUACUGUAUUUGUUACUUAUAACAAGGAUAUAUUUUAAAAAACAUACUUAAUUGUAAGGUCAAGGAUGAAACUUAAUGGUUUUAUUUUUCAAAUACUGUUUCCCAGGUGCUUUGCAUGGCAGAGUAAGGUUUCUAAAGACUUGUAGCAGGUUUUUCACCUUACCAUCCCAGAAAAGUAAAAUAGUGCAGAAAAUACCAACCUUUGCAGUUGCAGAAAGUUGGUCAACUUAAAAUAUUUAUUUAUUAGUACAAGUGCACAGAUAACAUCAGACAAGUUCAUGUUUUGUGUCCAUAUGGAAACGCUGAUGAGUAUAGAGUCCACAUUUAUCUUAUUCGAAUGCUACUUGCUUUGUUAAUUCGUCAUGUGCUCAAGCACCUUCUCUUCAACACCAUUGGCUUUCUGUCUCUGGUGUCCCAAGGUUCUGAAUGCUGAAAUCACUUUCAAAAUCACUUCUAUAACGGAACUGCCUAGAACGGUAUGGUUUUACAGUUUUCAAAAUCUGAAACUAUUCUGUAGCUACUCCACUCAUGCGUUUCUCUUGAUAACUGAGUCUCUUCAGAGCAGGCUAUUCUUGUCCUGCCCUGUUACUUCUAGUUGGAUCUAGAGUAGAAAGUGCUCUUUGAUACUCAUUCUUUAUACUGCUUCUUAGGAGUCUGGGUUAGAUUGUGGUUCUUGUUCACUUUCUCUUUUGUCAAACUUCAUCUUAUUAGCUAUACUUGAUCCAGUUACACAACAAAGAUACCUGAAAAGGGCCUUACACUUUUUACUGGGGAGGGUGAAGCACUGUUUGAAUACUUCUAGGUCUGAGAAGUUUAAAGAAAACUUAGAGUAGAGUUGUUCAGGCCGCAGUGAUACUUCUGGUGUAUAAAAUAACGCACUUGGAAUACACAGUUCAUGUGCAACUUGUGUGAGAUCCUAAGUUUGCAGAAAGGAUGAAUUCAUUACAACUUACUUUUUCAUUAAUUUUCAGAUCUUUGCAUUAAGUACUGAAAUUCCUAGGACUGUAUCUAUUCAGAUGGUAACGAGCAAAUUCUUUCCACAAGUUAUUACAAACAAGGCUAGAAUCAGGUGUUCAUAACUUUAAGAUAGUGACCCAUUAGUCUUUUGUCUAAUCUAGUCCCUGUUUUGCCAUUGGAACAUAGCAGUCUAUAACUUCCUCAGGAGGGGAAGUGGAAGGACACACAGUGAUCUCUGUGGUGAUCAUUGAUAUGACCCAAGGGAAUGGCAUGAAGCUGUGUCAUGGGAGGUUUAGGUUGGAUGUUAGGAAAAGGUUUUUUAC
RNA transcript from Pipra filicauda (Wire-tailed manakin), 9927 nucleotides. It is a transcript of the gene named deleted in azoospermia like, with no coding region annotated. The record is from RefSeq and is a predicted model, not a curated record. Lineage: Eukaryota; Metazoa; Chordata; Aves; Passeriformes; Pipridae. The transcript has 16 exons.